Small nucleolar RNA from Xyrauchen texanus (razorback sucker), 133 nucleotides. The record is from RefSeq and is a predicted model, not a curated record. NCBI's taxonomy places the organism in Eukaryota, Metazoa, Chordata, Actinopteri, Cypriniformes, Catostomidae.
ACCCAAAGUGUUGAGUUCAGUUCUGGGCUUUCCUCCUGGUUCUGGUAAUGUAUCUUUGGGACAGAAAAUGGCUGAAAGUGAAUAACUGAAGUGGUUAUGGUUUGACCUCUUCAUCAAAAUUCAGCUUACAUUA